UUAAAAAGCUCGUAGUCGGAUUUCAGUAUUAGGCCCUUCUUCCAAUACGGUUGCUAGUGGUCUUUACUUCCUUAACAGAAUCUUUCAUCUCAUUAAUUUGGGGUGUUUGGGGCCUGUUUCUUUUACUUUGAGAAAAUUAGAGUGUUCAAAGCGGGUUUUCGCCUGGAUAUUACUCUUGGAAUAAUAAUAUAGGACUUUGGUUCUUUUUUGUUGGUGACUUAGAACCGAAGUAAUGAUUGAUAGGGACAGUUGGGGUCAUUCGUACUAUGAAGCGAGAGGUGGAAUUCAUGGACCUUUGUAUGACGAACUACUGCGAAAGCAUUUGACUAGGAUGUUCCCGUUGAUCAAGAACGAAAGUUGGGGGAUCGAAGACGAUCAGAUACCGUCGUAGUCUCAACCAUAAACUAUGCCAGCUAGGGAUUGGAGGAAGAUCAUUUUACCUCUCCUUCAGCACCUUAUGAGAAAUCAAAGCAUUUGGGUUCCGGGGGGAGUAUGGUCGCAAGGCUGAAACUUAAAGGAAUUGACGGGAGGGCACCACCAGGAGUGGAGCCUGCGGCUUAAUUUGAUUC
RNAcentral lists this ribosomal RNA (569 nucleotides) under uncultured marine eukaryote. RNAcentral's name for it is "SSU rRNA". It matches the Rfam family "Eukaryotic small subunit ribosomal RNA", at positions 619 to 1201 of the family's 1831-position model. The record is from RNAcentral.